AACUUUUAAGGCAUCCAAGAGUGAUGAAAAUUCUUCAAGAUGAAAUACAAAAUGAAGUAGGAAAUAAGAGAAUGGUUGAAGAAAAGGAUUUGAAGAAUUUUAAUUACCUAGAUAUGGUGGUUGAUGAAACCUUAAGACUUUAUCCUGUUGCACCUUUAUUAAUCCCUCGUGAAUGUAGAGAGAACAUAACAAUUGAUGAUUAUUCUAUAAAAGAAAAGACACGAGUUAUAGUAAAUGCAUGGGCAAUUGGGAGAGAUCCUGAUGUUUGGUCAGAAAAUGCUGAAGAAUUUUACCCAGAGAGAUUUAUUGAGAAAAAAAUGAAUUAUCUCGGACAAGAGUUUGAAUCUAUACCAUUUGGUUCUGGUCGUAGACGUUGUCCUGGAAUUCAAUUGGGUAUGAUUACGGUUAAGUUGGUUAUAGCUCAAUUCGUGCAUUGCUUUAACUGGGAACUUCCACAUAAUAUUAGUCCUUCCAAUUUGAAUAUGGAGGAGAAAUUUGGACUCACUAUACCAAGAGCUCAGCAUUUGCACGCAAUACCAAGUUAUCGUUUGGAUGAUGCUAAGCUUGAAUAGUUCCAAGAAUAAUUACUAUGUUCGUGUUCAUCAAGUAUAUAAUUGGUAAAGAUGCUUAGGAGGUCUAUUAAUGAUGUUUUAAUGUAUAUUGCUUGUUCUUUAUAUAUGUUUGAUAGCCAACAUUUGAGUCUUCAUUGGGACAUGGAGGUCAAUAAAAUCACAUACCUUCAUGAUCAAUGGUAUGGUGCAAGUCUAUAGUACAAAUCUCCUUCAUCUCUACCCUAUCUCUUUCUUUUACUCAGUAUUUGUUUCAAUUCUCUGUUAUUAUUAUUACUAGGGUUGUUCGCGGUGCGGUUUGGUUCGGUUUCAAGCAUAAUAAUAAUCCAAACCGCGAGAGAAAAAAGCAUGCGGUUUGGUUUGGUUCGGUUGUUUUUUAAAAAGUCAUCCAAACCAAACCAAUGCGGUUUGGAUUGGUUCAGUUGAUGCGGUUAAUCACGAGAUAAAUAAAAAAAUUACAUUAACUUAAUAUUGCCAACUAGUACCAAGCAAUUUUAAUUAUUCAAAAAAAGAAUUUGAAGUUCCAAAAUAGCAUUACAAUACCAAUAAAAGUUAUUUAUCUAAAAUAACAUUACAGAACCAAAAUAAUAGCUGGAUAGUGUUGGGCUUGGACUUGGGUUCACUUUGGUAUUGGGCUAGUACAAUACUUACUUAGUUUAAUAACAUUGAGUAUUUUUGCGGUUUGGUUUGGUUUGGUUCGGUUGCUGAGAUGUAAACCGCAAACCGAACCGAACCGCGCGGUUCAGUCUAAAAAUCAUCCGAACUCAUCCGAACCAAGUGCGGUUUUUUGCGGUUUCAGUUUGGGUUGGUUCGGUUUGCGGUUUUUCUAUUGGGUUGGUUCGGUUUUGAACACCCCUAAUUAUUACUGAUUUUAAAAUUGGUAUGGCACACUUUAGAAAUGAGGUAGACCUGAAGUUCUAAAGUUUUUUUAACACAACAUAUCACACAUGACAACUUAAUAACUAGAAUACUGCUCCAUUAAGAUUGGAGAACAACAUAUAAAAGAUGUAAAUACUUAUUAUUCCUCUAUGGUUUUCCACAAUGUACAUGUAUAAUAUACUGCACAUUAACUAUUAUUUGAUUCAAAAAGUAUUAAAGUAUGUUUAUAUUUUUAUUUGUAUUAUGUAUUGAUAUCAAAAUAAUGAAUAUCAUUCAAAAAAAAAAAAAAAAUCAAAAUAAUGAAUAUGGGUGGCAUUUAGGGUGGGAAGGGGAAAGAUUUUCCCACCAUAGGUCAGUUGACAUUUUACCGUUAAAUUAAAAAGGAAUACUGAUUUUAUUAUGGACUGUCUACACCCUAUCUUUUCCCACCCACCUUUCUCUCUCCUCCUUGCUCUCCACCACCCGCAACAUCACCUACAGCCACUAUCACCACCGGUUCCUUCCAUUCUCGUCCAAAGCAAGCUUCAGAUCCGACGCACCUAGCUCAAUCUCUCUUUUCCAGUUUCUCUUAAUCAUUCAAUCGCCCCAUUUAUAUCCCCCCUUCGUAAAAAAUUCCAUGAUGUGAUAAUCCAAAUAUGGGCUAUAAUAUUACUGUAAUAUUUAUUGUUUGCUACUUAAUUUUAGUUCAAUGGGUCACUACAUAUAUAUUAAUUAUCGAUUCUUACAGGUUUGAUUGAAGCCUAUGAAGAUUGAUUUUUAACUUUUUUUAGAUUGCAACUCAUGAAGAUUGAUUUUGAUAAUUGGUUCCAUAAAAAGCAUGUUUCUUAAUUGUAAGCACGUGAAGAUUUUUGGGUUGUAGUUUCAUGGUGGCUGGUGGUGGUGGGUGAGUGGGGGUAUGGAGGAGAGAGAAGAAUGGUGAGGUGAGUGAGGUUGGAGACAGAUUGAAAAAAUAUAGUGUGGGUAGACCAUAGUAUGAUUAGUGUUCCUAUUUGAUCUAAUGGUCAAAAUCAACUUUUUUAUGGUAGGAAACUCUUUCCCUUACCCACCCUAAAUGCCACCAUGAAUAUGAGAGAGUUUUGUGUAACUUUUUUGCAUGUGUUGUUUUCUGACUCUAGAUUUGGAUAACAAAACAAUCAAGUCUUUUGUUCUCUUUCUCUAUUAUAGAUCUACUUUCUCUCUCUCUCUAUGAUUCCCGUGCUAUACUAGAUCUGACAACUGAACUCUUGCGACUCAAUAAUUUCUUUCUUCAAUAUGAACUUUAAGACCAAAUUUAGUUUCUAAAUCUUAAAAAAUUUAAUCAUAAACAAUAACAUUUUAGUACAUAAAUUAAUUUCCAAAACCUGAUCUUUCUCCUGUAGACCAAAUAUAUUGUCUAUCCUGUUUCAUGUUUGUAAAUUGUAACAAGUUAAUUUUUUUUUUUUUAAGUUGUAACAUUCUAGUCAAAUACCUCACUGGAUCUUCUAAGUUUUACGUUUGUUUCAGAUAGGUCCUUUAAGUUUUUAAGGUUUUAGAUAUGUCAUUUAAGUUUCGAGUUUGUUUCAGAUAUGUCUUUUAAGUUUCUAAGGUUUCAGAUAGGUCCUUUAAAUUUCGAAUUUAUUUCAGAUAGAUCAUUUCUAUCGAAUCAACUUUAAAAAAUUAACUUAUUAUAAACAACCAACUUAAAAAUCGCUAGAAGUAUUUGACCUUUCCAUAACCAAAAUCUAAAAAACAAAUGUGGUAUUUUUCCUAUAAGACCACUUUCAAAAUCACUCAUGCUGCUGUAUUACUCGAGAUAAGAUUUAAAUUGCAAAUGUAAAUAUUAAAAAGAGGGUUAAUUAAAUUUUUAGUCCCUUUUUUUUUUUUAAAAAAAAAAAAGAAUUUUUAGUCUCUAUAAAUAUUCACAGUUUUGUUUUUAGUCUAUACAAAAUAAAAUCACACUUUUUAGUCAAUGUGACAUUUUAAGGACUAAAAAUGCUGAUGAAAUUUUUUUAUAUAGACGAAAAAUGCUAAUGAAAAAUUUUAUAGAGACUAAAAAUAUUGAUGGAAAAUUUUAUAGGGACUAAAAAAUGUGAUUUUACUUUGUAGGGACUAAAAACAAAAUUAUGAAUAUUUAUAAGGACCAUUUACUUAUUAACCCUUAAAAAGAUGAAUGUUAUUUGAACAACCGUUUGGUUGACAACUUUUGGAACAACUAUAAUUUACAAAGAAAAAGUAGGUAUGUGAACGAAAACCAUAGUAGAAAGAUAAAGUAAAGAAUAACGUAAGUAUGAUUGAGAAAGUUGUCAAAAAAAUUAUUAAAAAAUGGAUGUUCUAAUAUCAUUCCUCUAUUAAAAAACGUUACUAUUUGAUCACAUUAUUAGUAAGUUAUCUUGCUCAGCUAGUAAAUUAUUAUACCGAUGGAGUUUUCACGGUGAAUCAAAUUACACAGUGCUUUGAAAACGAGGAGGAUAACAUCCUUCUUUUACUUUUUAAAUUGACAAGCAUGCACAACGAGAUGGAUAAAAGAAUAUUAAAAUAAUGGUAAAUCAUAUCCAACGUGUGCAUGUACAUUGUCGGUUGUAACAAAUCGACGUUCAUAAAAUGUACGUGCAUAGUUGAUCAUUUAAAAAAAAAAAAAUAUUUGAAUGAUGUUUUUCAUAUUUGCAAUUAGGUGUCAUUUAAAAAUUAGUUCAUAUAAUUGCUAAUCCUGACAAUUUACAUUUGCAUUAUUUAAUCAUUUAAAAUUUUAUCUUUUGACCAACUUAAUCACAAAUUAGCAAAAUGAUACGGAAAUGGACAAAUAUACCCUCGUCGUUAUUAUGAGAAGAAGACUAAGACAAGGGUAGAAAUACAUAAAUAUCUCCAUAAAUAUCUCACUAGCUAGAUAUACAAACCAAACACGUACACCACCGGUUUCAAGAUAAUCUGAGAUUAACUUGGAGUUCUAUAUAGUCUUCAACCUUGUUACGUACUUCAGCCAAACCAAAGCAUUCAUUGUAGACAUGUCUUUUGCACUAACAACAACAAUGUUUGCUUUUCUUCUCUUCACUUUCAUGUACUUUCUAUUCAAACUCUACUUACAUCCAAAACAAAAAACCCUAAACCAUAAAAAACCACCAGGUCCAUCAACACUACCAAUAAUUGGAAAUCUUCACAUAUUAGGCAAACUUCCACAUAGAACACUUCAAUCACUCUCCAAAAAAUAUGGUCCAAUCAUGUCCUUACAACUUGGUCAAGUUCCAACUAUUAUCAUUUCAUCUUCAAAAGCUGCAGAAUCAUUCCUCAAAACUCAUGACAUCGUUUUUGCAAGUCGACCAAAGGUUCAAGGAUCAGAUCUCAUGUCUUAUGGUUCCAAAGGGAUGGCUUUUUCUGAGUAUGGUCCUUAUUGGCGUAGUGUGAGGAAAUUUUGCACUUUGAAACUUUUUAGUGCUUCAAAAGUUGAGAUGUUUGGUCCUAUUAGGAAGGAGAAGUUGGAUGUUUUGGUUAUAUCUUUGGAGAAAGCUGCCUUGGAGGGUGAGGUUGUGAAUGUUAGUGAGGUUGUAGAGAAUCUUAUUGAGGAUAUUGUGUAUAAGAUGAUGUUUGGUCGGAGUAAGUAUGAGCAAUUUGACAUGAAUAAGUUAGUUCUAGAAGCAAUGGCUUUGAUGGGAGCUUUUAAUCUGGCUGAUUAUGUACCUUGGCUAGGCGUUUUUGACCUUCAGGUACGUCUUGACAAUUUCAUAUUAAAAAUUCUAAUUAAUUUUAUGAGAUUAUUUGAUUAUAUGGAAAAGAGGUUAACAUUGGCGCAACUGAUAAAUUUGUUGUCAUGUGACUGAAAGGUCAUAGAUUCAAGUCCGGAAAACAACCUCUUAUAUAAACAACAGGGUAAGGCUGUGUACAUUACACUAAAUGGUGGGACCCCUUCCCGGGGCCUAUGUAUGCGGGAGCUUUAGUGCACCGGGUUGCCUUUUAUUUGAUGAUAUGGAAAAAAGAAAAAUAUUUAUAGUUUAUUGAUAUUUAAUUGGUGGUUAAGACUUGAGAGUAUCUUUGUGUUGAUUUUUUAUAAUUUUUAUAAAGAUGUAUCUUUGUGUUGAUAUCGCUAUAUAAGAAAGAAAAAGAUUGAAUAUUGUGCGUUGUGUUUGAAUGGAGGGUUUAAGAAGAAAAGGGAGGAGAAGAUUUACUUUUUUUUUUUUUUUAAAUUAGUAACACUAAAAUGUUUUUCAAAAAUUGAAAUAACAUGUGAUUUUUCCUCUAUGGCAAUAAAUUGGGUUACCUGAUUUUAUUUCAAUUGCCCUUCACUUUUAAUUAAACUUCUUCAGAUUCUUUCUCAUGUAACCAAAAUAAAUAGAUAGUAAAUAAAUAAAUCAGCUAUCGAUUUCAUACUCAAUUUACAUAUGCUUUUGUUAAGUUCAGUGAAAAUAUUCAUGUAGUAGCUGAUAUCAAUUAUAAGUUUAAUUUUUUGUUAGGGAUUAACACGAGCUUGCAAAAAAACCAGUAAAGCCCUCGAUGAGGUUUUGGAGAUGAUAAUAACAGAGCACGAACAGACUACUAAUACUGACAAAACUCGUAAUGAAGACUUUGUAGACAUACUUCUUUCAAUUAUGCACCAAACCAUUGAUGUCGAGGGUGAACAAAAUCUCGUCAUUGAUCGAACUAACAUCAAGGCUAUUUUGCUCGACAUGAUAGCGGCAUCAGUUCAUACAUCUGCUACCACGAUUGAGUGGGCUUUAUCUGAACUUCUAAGGCAUUCAAGAGUGAUGAAAAUUCUUCAAGAUGAGAUACAAAAUGAAGUAGGAAAUAAAAGAAUGGUUGAAGAGAAGGAUCUGAAGAAGUUUAAUUACUUAGAUAUGGUUGUUGAUGAAACCUUAAGACUUUAUCCUGUUGGACCCUUAUUAAUCCCUCGUGAAUGUAGAGAGAGCAUAACAAUUGAUGGAUAUUUUAUAACGAAAAAGACUCGAGUUAUAGUAAAUGCAUGGGCUAUUGGGAGAGAUUGUAACGUUUGGUCAGAAAAUGCUGAU
Molecule: long non-coding RNA, 6400 nt
Filed under: Medicago truncatula (barrel medic)
Lineage: Eukaryota; Viridiplantae; Streptophyta; Magnoliopsida; Fabales; Fabaceae
Description: long non-coding RNA (MTRU_LNC003453)
Source: RNAcentral